CUUUUCCAUUAUUCUAAAGAGUAAGAUAAUUUUCCAAUGAAAUUAAUUCUGAAAUAGUAGGCUGAAAGGGGAUCUUCACGUUUCAAAGUGGCAUACAGAAUAGAGGAAAGCAUUGCUGAAGGCAUAACAAAAUCAAACACUGACAUCUUUGAAUUUUUUGUCCAGGAAUAUUUACAAUGCUUCAUCCAAUUCCACACCUAAUCUCAGCUCCUCCAACAUUCCAUUUUCCAGGGAUAGGGCUCUCAGGGAAGAGGAAGUGGUACCAAAACCCAAGGCUCUCUUCUUGAAUCUGCCAAUGAACCAUCUUGGGUCACUUCAGAACAUAUUCUUGCUAUGUCCUGCUUGAAAAUGUGUGCAGUCUAUGAAACGAAGGAGAGCUAAGACCUUCAUUCUUCGACCUUUACCACUCAAAAGGGUGAUUCUGGAACAGAUCUCUGGAGCCAGAUUCUGGCAUACAGCAGCCUCUUCGCUCAACGAACCUUUAAAGAGAUCUGUAAUAAAGCAUGCAUAUGCGGGCUGUAUUUCCCUUCUCUCUUAUCAAAAAUCCAAGCCAUCCUCCACUUGCCUCCUUCAGCAUAAGUUUCAUUUCCCAGAAAUAAGCCAGGAUCAGAUUUCGGAAGGCAAUGAACUGAUAUCAGAUACAACUGAGAUGGAAGAAUAUCUGAAUCUGGCAUUGGCUGGAAGUUGAAUCUAGAUCACUUGAAUCCCAGCACAGUAUGGCACGAUAGUAAGGCCUUAUACAGAAAAUAAGAUUUCUUGUAGUCUUGUUCUUGAAGUAUCAGAAUGGAUUCUGCCUAACACAUCUUUGGUCUAUUUUCUUGUUAGAGUAAACGUCUGGUGAGACAAAUUCCAACAAACUGAUUCUGUUAAGGACGGCUCUCCACACUGCCCUGAAGGCUGGUUCCGCAGCUCACUAAAGAAAGCAGCUUGAGUCCAUCCAUGGAAAGGUGAACAGUAUCGCUCACUGACUGCAAUGCUGAAUCAAGGUGAGGUGGGGCCAACUGACAUUCACAGCGGCUAGCUGCCCUUUAACUAUAAUAGCAUUCACGGGUGAUGAUGUCUUAAUGUAUAAUCUGCAUGAUAAUGCAUGACAGUUUAGAGGUGAUUUUUUCCUUUUUUUUUUGUUUUAAAUAGUGCCUGUGUUAAUAGGCCGAUAUUGCAUUCAAAUAAAAAUUCCAUUUUUACUUUUCCA
This 1192-nucleotide long non-coding RNA is filed under the name Struthio camelus australis. Its description in RNAcentral is "lncRNA (ENSSCUG00000017263.1)". The record is from RNAcentral. Lineage: Eukaryota; Metazoa; Chordata; Aves; Struthioniformes; Struthionidae.